AUGAAUAAUGCUAGUUGCAUCACCAACCGCCUUGCCCCACUUGCAAAGGUUAUAUAUGACAGCAAUACUGAAACUGCUAAGGCUAUCGGCAAAGUGCUUCCUGCUUUGAAUGGAAAGUUGAGUCGUAUGUCAUUUCGUGUCCCAACUGUGGAUGUCGCAGUUGUUGACUUUAUAGUGAGGCUUGAGAAGGAUGCCACCUAUGAUGAGAAGCAGAAAACCAAUUAA
Non-coding RNA from Vicia faba (fava bean), 225 nucleotides. NCBI's taxonomy places the organism in Eukaryota, Viridiplantae, Streptophyta, Magnoliopsida, Fabales, Fabaceae. The record is from the annotation of a GenBank genome assembly.